This 440-nucleotide ribosomal RNA is filed under the name uncultured Parabacteroides sp. Its description in RNAcentral is "bacterial SSU rRNA". It matches the Rfam family "Bacterial small subunit ribosomal RNA", at positions 355 to 794 of the family's 1533-position model. The record is from RNAcentral. Lineage: Bacteria; Pseudomonadati; Bacteroidota; Bacteroidia; Bacteroidales; Tannerellaceae.
UGAGGAAUAUUGGUCAAUGGACGAGAGUCUGAACCAGCCAAGUCGCGUGAAGGAAGACGGAUCUAUGGUUUGUAAACUUCUUUAGUGCGGGAACAAAGCGGUGUCGUGACGCCGGAUGAGUGUACCGCAAGAAUAAGCAUCGGCUAACUCCGUGCCAGCAGCCGCGGUAAUACGGAGGAUGCGAGCGUUAUCCGGAUUUAUUGGGUUUAAAGGGAGCGCAGGCUGCGGGGCAAGUCAGCGGUCAAAUGUCGGGGCUCAACCCCGGCCUGCCGUUGAAACUGUCCUGCUAGAGUUCGUGCGAGGAAGGCGGAAUGCGUUGUGUAGCGGUGAAAUGCAUAGAUAUGACGCAGAACUCCGAUUGCGAAGGCAGCUUUCCAGCGCGCUACUGACGCUGAGGCACGAAAGCGUGGGGAUCGAACAGGAUUAGAUACCCUGGUAGU